RNAcentral lists this ribosomal RNA (108 nucleotides) under Bifidobacterium longum subsp. longum 2-2B. Lineage: Bacteria; Bacillati; Actinomycetota; Actinomycetes; Bifidobacteriales; Bifidobacteriaceae. The record is from RNAcentral.
UGCGGCGGCCAUGGCCCAGGUGAGACGCCCGGUCCCAUUCCGAACCCGGAAGCUAAGGCCUGGCACGGCGAUGGUACUGCACCCGACAGGGUGUGGGAGAGUAGCACG